GUCUGGAUAGCUCAGUGGCUAGAGCAGUUGCCCGUAAAGCGAAAGACUCGGGGUCGAUUCCCGAUCCAGCCA
Non-coding RNA from Camponotus floridanus (Florida carpenter ant), 72 nucleotides. The record is from Rfam. NCBI's taxonomy places the organism in Eukaryota, Metazoa, Arthropoda, Insecta, Hymenoptera, Formicidae.